This 377-nucleotide ribosomal RNA is filed under the name uncultured bacterium. Its description in RNAcentral is "bacterial SSU rRNA". It matches the Rfam family "Bacterial small subunit ribosomal RNA", at positions 521 to 896 of the family's 1533-position model. The record is from RNAcentral.
UAAUACAGAGGGUGCGAGCGUUGUCCGGAAUCACUGGGCGUAAAGGGCGCGUAGGUGGCUCGUUAAGCGUGUGGUGAAAGCCUGGGGCUCAACCCCAGGUCUGCCGUGCGAACUGGCGAGCUUGAGCAGAGUAGAGGCGAGUGGAAUUUCGGGUGUAGCGGUGGAAUGCGUAGAUAUCCGAAAGAACACCGGUGGCGAAGGCGGCUCGCUGGGCUCUUGCUGACACUGAUGCGCGACAGCGUGGGGAGCAAACAGGAUUAGAUACCCUGGUAGUCCACGCCGUAAACGAUGGGUACUAGGCGUCUGGGGGAGCGACCCCCUGGGUGCCGGCGCUAACGCAUGAAGUACCCCGCCUGGGGAGUACGGCCGCAAGGCUG